Molecule: ribosomal RNA, 500 nt
Filed under: uncultured bacterium
Lineage: Bacteria
Description: partial 16S ribosomal RNA
Rfam family: Bacterial small subunit ribosomal RNA
Source: RNAcentral
AUUGAACGCUGGCGGAAUGCUUUACACAUGCAAGUCGAACGGCAGCACGGACUUCGGUCUGGUGGCGAGUGGCGAACGGGUGAGUAAUGUAUCGGAACGUGCCCAGUCGUGGGGGAUAACGUAGUGAAAAUUACGCUAAUACCGCAUACGAUCUAUGGAUGAAAGCGGGGGAUCGCAAGACCUCGCGCGAUUGGAGCGGCCGAUAUCAGAUUAGGUAGUUGGUGGGGUAAAGGCCCACCAAGCCAACGAUCUGUAGCUGGUCUGAGAGGACGACCAGCCACACUGGAACUGAGAACCGGUCCAGACUCCUACGGGAGGCAGCAGUGGGGAAUGUUGGACAAUGGGCGAAAGCCUUAUCCAGCCACUCCGCGUGCAGGAUGAAGGCCCUCGGGUUGUAAACUGCUUUUGUACAGAACGAAAAGGUUUCUACUAAUACUAGGAGCUCAUGACGGUACUGUAAGAAUAAGCACCGGCUAACUACGUGCCAGCCGCCGCCGUAA